CCUGCUUUUCUUCGUGUUCACAGCGGACCUUGAUUUAAAUGUCCAUACAAUUAAGGCACGCGGUGAAUGCCAAGAGAGAUGGC
Molecule: microRNA precursor, 83 nt
Organism: Carassius auratus (goldfish)
Lineage: Eukaryota; Metazoa; Chordata; Actinopteri; Cypriniformes; Cyprinidae
Gene: mir124-2
Product: microRNA 124-2
Source: Ensembl